RNAcentral lists this ribosomal RNA (1000 nucleotides) under Salmonella enterica subsp. enterica serovar Thompson. Its description in RNAcentral is "bacterial SSU rRNA". It matches the Rfam family "Bacterial small subunit ribosomal RNA", at positions 108 to 1104 of the family's 1533-position model. RNAcentral also lists the same sequence under 2 other names. Lineage: Bacteria; Pseudomonadati; Pseudomonadota; Gammaproteobacteria; Enterobacterales; Enterobacteriaceae. The record is from RNAcentral.
GAGUAAUGUCUGGGAAACUGCCUGAUGGAGGGGGAUAACUACUGGAAACGGUGGCUAAUACCGCAUAACGUCGCAAGACCAAAGAGGGGGACCUUCGGGCCUCUUGCCAUCAGAUGUGCCCAGAUGGGAUUAGCUAGUUGGUGAGGUAACGGCUCACCAAGGCGACGAUCCCUAGCUGGUCUGAGAGGAUGACCAGCCACACUGGAACUGAGACACGGUCCAGACUCCUACGGGAGGCAGCAGUGGGGAAUAUUGCACAAUGGGCGCAAGCCUGAUGCAGCCAUGCCGCGUGUAUGAAGAAGGCCUUCGGGUUGUAAAGUACUUUCAGCGGGGAGGAAGGUGUUGUGGUUAAUAACCGCAGCAAUUGACGUUACCCGCAGAAGAAGCACCGGCUAACUCCGUGCCAGCAGCCGCGGUAAUACGGAGGGUGCAAGCGUUAAUCGGAAUUACUGGGCGUAAAGCGCACGCAGGCGGUCUGUCAAGUCGGAUGUGAAAUCCCCGGGCUCAACCUGGGAACUGCAUUCGAAACUGGCAGGCUUGAGUCUUGUAGAGGGGGGUAGAAUUCCAGGUGUAGCGGUGAAAUGCGUAGAGAUCUGGAGGAAUACCGGUGGCGAAGGCGGCCCCCUGGACAAAGACUGACGCUCAGGUGCGAAAGCGUGGGGAGCAAACAGGAUUAGAUACCCUGGUAGUCCACGCCGUAAACGAUGUCUACUUGGAGGUUGUGCCCUUGAGGCGUGGCUUCCGGAGCUAACGCGUUAAGUAGACCGCCUGGGGAGUACGGCCGCAAGGUUAAAACUCAAAUGAAUUGACGGGGGCCCGCACAAGCGGUGGAGCAUGUGGUUUAAUUCGAUGCAACGCGAAGAACCUUACCUGGUCUUGACAUCCACAGAACUUUCCAGAGAUGGAUUGGUGCCUUCGGGAACUGUGAGACAGGUGCUGCAUGGCUGUCGUCAGCUCGUGUUGUGAAAUGUUGGGUUAAGUCCCGCAACGAGCGCAACCC